AAACAAUAUAACUAUAAUUGGUCACGGCGAUGACCAGUUCUCCCUUUACUUCUUCUUCCUACAUAUUUAAAUUAGCUAGCAGCGCCGCGCUAUUUCUCACGGCGGAGUCUAAAAUUCCGGCAGACCAUUACGACGACAUUUACUAGUUUCCUUCAAUCCAAAUGGGCCAAUCUUCCUCAGCUCACGGCUUCUCCCCCACCAAUUCCAAUUAUCCCCACCACCGUUGUUCCGGCACCGACCAUUCCCAAUCGGAAUUUUUCUACCCUACACAAUCCGAUGAAGGUCAUUUCCCCAUUUCACAACCCUGUGAAAACCGAGAUUACACUGAUGGUCUUCCCGACGAAUGUUUAGCUCUAAUUUUCCAGUCCUUAAGCUCCGGUGAUCGGAAAAGAUCCUCCCUUGUCUGCCGGAGAUGGCUUCUGGUUGAAGGGAUUAGCCGUCACCGGCUUUCUCUAAACGCAAAAAGCGAAAUCAUUCCGGAUAUACCCACCAUCUUCUCUCGUUUCGAUUCCGUAACCAAACUCGCUCUCCGAUGUGACCGAAGAUCGGUGAGCAUAAACGAUGAAGCUUUGAUCCUCAUCUCCCAACGGUGCGUUAACCUAACGCGCCUAAAGCUUCGUGGUUGCCGAGAUAUAACCGAUUUGGGAAUGGCUUGUUUGGCAAAGAAUUGUGAGAAAUUGAAGAAAUUCUCUUGCGGGUCUUGUAUGUUUGGAGCUGAAGGUAUGAACGCUUUGCUUAUUAACAGCAUUUCCCUUGAAGAACUCUCUGUUAAACGUUUACGAUGUAUGAAUCAUACUAUAUCUACUGAACCGAUUAGCAUUGGAUCUAAUGCUGCUUGUUUACUUAAAUCUAUAUGCUUAAAAGAGCUUUAUAAUGGACAAUGUUUUGGACCUUUGAUCAUGGGAUCGAAGAAUUUGAAGACGUUGAAAUUGUUGCGAUGUUUGGGUGAUUGGGAUAGGGUGUUGG
RNAcentral lists this unclassified non-coding RNA (966 nucleotides) under Hevea brasiliensis (rubber tree). Lineage: Eukaryota; Viridiplantae; Streptophyta; Magnoliopsida; Malpighiales; Euphorbiaceae. The record is from RNAcentral.